ACGAAGAGGUAUCGUAAUUGAAGAGGUUUGGAAAGACCCACCACAGAAGGUAAUAGUCCUGUAUGUUAAACGAGAAGACUUCAGAUAUGAUCCAGAGUACCACGGGACACGUGAAACCCUGUGGGAAGCAGGAGGGACCACCCUCCAAGGCUAAAUACUACCUAGUGACCGAUAGCGUAUAGUACCGUGAGGGAAAGGUGAAAAGAACCCCGGGAGGGGAGUGAAAUAGAACCUGAAACCCUGCACUUACAAGCUGUGGAAGCACAUUUCUUGUGUGACCGCGUACUUUUUGUAGAACGGGCCAACGAGUUACGUUAAGUAGCAAGGUUAAGCACUUAAGGUGCGGAGCCGUAGCGAAAGCGAGUUUUAACUGAGCGUUCAGUUACUUGACGUAGACCCGAAACCGGGCGACCUACCCAUGAGCAGGAUGAAGCGAAAGUAAAAUUUCGUGGAGGUCCGAACCCACGAGCGUUGAAAAGCUCGGGGAUGACUUGUGGGUAGCGGUGAAAUUCCAAUCGAGCCCGGAGAUAGCUGGUUCUCCCCGAAAUAGCUUUAGGGCUAGCCUCAAGGUGAGAGAUACGGAGGUAGAGCACUGAAUGUCCUAGGGGGUAUUGCACCUACCGAAGACUAUCAAACUCCGAAUGCCGUCAUCUUAUACUUGGGAGUCAGACUGUGGGUGAUAAGAUUCAUAGUCGAAAGGGCAACAGCCCAGAUCGUCAGCUAAGGUCCCUAAAUGUAAGUUAAGUGGUAAAGGAUGUGGGAUUGCACAGACAACCAGGAUGUUGGCUUAGAAGCAGCCACUCAUUCAAAGAGUGCGUAAUAGCUCACUGGUCGAGUGAUCCUGCGCCGAAGAUUUCCGGGGCUAAAACUUACUACCGAAGCUACGGCAUCAGUAAUGAUGGGUAGGGGAGCUUCCCAUACGGGUUGAAGCAUGACCGUAAGGACAUGUGGACAGUAUGGGAGUGAGAAUGUUGGCAUGAGUAGCGAGAUGUGGGUGAGAAUCCCACAGGCCGUAAACCCAAGGUUUCCAGGGGAAGGUUCGUCCGCCCUGGGUUAGUCGGGACCUAAGCUGAGGCCGAAAGGCGUAGGUGAUGGACAACAGGUUGAUAUUCCUGUACUACCGAUAACCGUUUGAGAGAAGGGAUGACACAGUAGGAUAAGCUAAGCACACUGUUGGUUAUGUGUGCCCAAGCAUUGAGGCAGUCAAAGUAGGCAAAUCCGCUUUGAUAAUGCUGGGAUGUGAUGGGGAGCGAAAUUUAGUAGCGAAGUAGCUGAUUUCACACUGUCAAGAAAAGUCUCUAUCGAGGUUAAAGGUACCCGUACCGCAAACCGACACAGGUGGGUGAGGAGAGUAUCCUAAGGCCAGCGAGAGAACUGUUGUUAAGGAACUCGGCAAAAUGACCCCGUAACUUAGGGAUAAGGGGUGCCACCAUCAGGUGGCCGCAGAGAAUAGGCCCAAGCGACUGUUUACCAAAAACAUAGGUUUCUGCUAAGUCGCAAGACGAUGUAUAGGAGCUGACGCCUGCCCGGUGCUGGAAGGUUAAGGGGAUCUGUUAGAGCAAUCGAAGCAGUGAACUUAAGCCCCAGUAAACGGCGGCCGUAACUAUAACGGUCCUAAGGUAGCGAAAUUCCUUGUCGGGUAAGUUCCGACCCGCACGAAAGGCGUAACGAUUUGGGCACUGUCUCAACAACAGACUCGGUGAAAUUGUAAUUCCGGUGAAGAUGCCGGAUACCUGCGACAGGACGGAAAGACCCCAUGGAGCUU
This 1765-nucleotide ribosomal RNA is filed under the name Clostridioides difficile. RNAcentral's name for it is "partial 23S ribosomal RNA". It matches the Rfam family "Bacterial large subunit ribosomal RNA", at positions 316 to 2101 of the family's 2925-position model. Lineage: Bacteria; Bacillati; Bacillota; Clostridia; Peptostreptococcales; Peptostreptococcaceae. The record is from RNAcentral.